CGAUCAAGCAACUAGUGGGAACUAGAGAACCGUCCUAGAUCUACCGGAAGGCAGGCAGUGGGGAUUUGGACAAUGGCGCAAGCUGAUCCAGCAUGCCGCGUGCAGAUGAAGACUCGGGUGUAAACUGCUUUUGUACGGAACGAAAAAGCUCUCUCUAAUACAGGGGUGAAUGACGGUACGUAAGAAUAAGCACGGGCUAACUACGUGCCAGCAGCCGCGGUAAUACGUAGGGUGCAAGCGUUAAUCGGAAUUACUGGGCGUAAAGCGUGCGCAGGCGGUUAUGUAAGACAGAGGUGAAAUCCCCGGGCUCAACCUGGGAACUGCCUUUGUGACUGCAUAGCUGGAGUGCGGCAGAGGGGGAUGGAAUUCCGCGUGUAGCAGUGAAAUGCGUAGAUAUGCGGAGGAACACCGAUGGCGAAGGCAAUCCCCUGGGCCUGCACUGACGCUCAUGCACGAAAGCGUGGGGAGCAAACAGGAUUAGAUACCCUGGUAGUCCACGCCCUAAACGAUGUCAACUGGUUGUUGGGUCUUCACUGACUCAGUAACGAAGCUAACGCGUGAAGUUGACCGCCUGGGGAGUACGGCCGCAAGGUUAAAACUCAAAGGAAUUGACGGGGACCCGCACAAGCGGUGGAUGAUGUGGUUUAAUUCGAUGCAACGCGAAAAACCUUACCCACCU
RNAcentral lists this ribosomal RNA (679 nucleotides) under uncultured bacterium. RNAcentral's name for it is "bacterial SSU rRNA". It matches the Rfam family "Bacterial small subunit ribosomal RNA", at positions 297 to 980 of the family's 1533-position model. The record is from RNAcentral.